CUCGCCUGACCCAGCCGGAUAUACCCCCGAUUUGAGUUUGCAGAAGGAGAAGCUCUAUCUCUUAAGUUACGAGCUAAGGCCAAGAUUUUGGAGAAAGGAUUGAGGGAGCGAGUUGGUUGGUCCAAGAAGGAGGAACGGGCGGUAGGUUUUCUCCUGGAUCGGAUUAUCCAUUUGAAGACUCUGACAAGCCUGCGCCCAAGCCUGAAACCUCUAAGCUUUUUCAUGGUGGUUUAAAAGAAGAGAAAUUUAGAGAUUAGUAUCAAGAAAACGGUGUUAGAGAAGAAUGAAGAGUGGGAUUACAGAGCACUCUCUCUA
This 315-nucleotide unclassified non-coding RNA is filed under the name Hevea brasiliensis (rubber tree). The record is from RNAcentral. Lineage: Eukaryota; Viridiplantae; Streptophyta; Magnoliopsida; Malpighiales; Euphorbiaceae.